CUGUAAACUACAUAAUACAGAAAAAUAAUCACUGAUCAAUAAAAGCCGCACGUGAAAGAUUUUUAUUAAGGAUGAUUCAACAAAGUAAACUUUCUUAUUGGAAUAGGUUAUUUCUUUAAAAUAUUUCAGACAGUAGUUAAAUUGUUUUAGGUUAACAGCAGUGCUGCCUUUGGUAGCGCUGUUUUCAUAAGUUUCUGUUAAACCCUUUUAUUUUAAACUGAGGCCCCUCCAGAUAAGUUGCUGCUUCAAGAGCGUCGCAUCAUAUUGGUUAGUGGUCCUUCCUGUAGUUUACUUUUGCAAGAUGAUGCCAAAGUAUUGCAAGAUCCCAAAUUACUUUUGUGAGAUCCUGCACAAGUAUGUCGGGAUCCUUUUUCUUUUUUUUUUUUCUCGAUGUCCCUUACACAGUUAAGUAUGUUAGUGCCAGGUGUGAAUGAGUUGAUGCCUAAGACUCCUUUCUUUAACUAAGAAAGAAAUUAGUUCUCGUGUUGCACCAUUAUAUUGGCAGAGUUGACCACUAAAGACUGCUCACUGUUUUUAUUUCUGACGACACUCAAUUUAAAAAAGCUUUGAAGAAGCCCCCGCCACUAUUGUUUGUGGUACACCCUUUUUGGUAGAAAAAAGAAACGGUGACAGUGACAGACAAGAUGAUUUAUAUUUUUAAAAAACAUCAUGGAAUGAGACGUCACAAUUUAGAUUCCCUGUGUUAGAACCCUUGCAACAUAGUCAAGCCAAGCACUAGUCAUAUAUCACAUGAAAUGAAAUAACGUUGCUUAAUUUCAUGCCACAAUAUGCAGAUACUCUGUCUGCACUGAUGAAGAUUCAUCUCACUUCGGGAUGCCUAAUGGUCAUAGAUGGUCUGACAUACUCUAACCCACUUUGAGAUUAUUCAUGUAAUAACUAUUUGACCACUUGUAGGCACUCAUAGACUUUGAAUAGGGCAUUUAACUUUUAUCAAUGGAACAUUAGACAGGAAAACAUUUAAAACAUGGAUAUAUUUCAAAGAUGUGACAGGACCUGAUGCGCUACAAAUGCUCUUUAUUUUUUCCACACUUGGACCCACGUAGCAAGUCUUGCCAGUGGCAAGAUUACAGCAGCUUUAUGAAAAUUCAAAGCAAUGUUCAAAUCCACUUCUGCAGGAAGUCUAACACCUCUACCACCAACUACACAUUGUAUUAAUGCAGCAAAAACACACUUGGCAUUAAAGAAAUCAAAGACGCAGAUAUUUUUACUAUUGUUUUUUUGCCCUCUAUCUUUGUUUAAAAAGCGAUAAUUUAUUAACUGACUGCACAAAUUCAGGGAAGCCUGUGAAUACAUUAAAUAGAAAAAAGGUUAUUUAAAUUCACCCGCGUUUAAUCUUUUAUAGACCCCUCUAAUUCAUAUCAACCUUGGAUAACACACAAAAAGAGCUAUCUCCUUGUUACCACCCUGGGAUGAAUAUUGACUGAUGACUUUCAUUUUCAGCUAUCGGCCCUGAUGCUAAUUUUACAUAUUUUUUAAUUAACUCCAGGUAUUCUUGGAGAAGACUAACUGAUUAGAAGCUGCAGAAGGGUUAAGGUUUCACCAUCCUAGACCUCAGCACAGCUAUUCCGCUUAUUCUUUAAUCCUUCCCGGGCCGCUGUGUCGAGAUCUGCUCUGUUGGAGGAUGAUGAUGAGACUCCCCACAGGGAUAAUGACAUCUAAGAGUGUCUCUCCAACGGAUGUCCCCUGGAUUUAAUGCCAUCCAACGCUUAGCCCGAAAGAGAUGUGCAGCCCCGAGACAGCAGCACAACACAGUGACAUGCGUGGACAGCCAGCUUGGCCAGUUCGACAGGCAGCAGCCGCUGAGAUACACAAAGAGACAGUUAGUCAGACUGGCCGACUAACCGGCAGACAUCUGGCAAGAAAAGAAGCAGCCCAGACAUGAACAAACACACUGACACAGGUGAAAAACUACAUGAGGUGGAUGGCAUCAGAGUAAGACCAGACUCCACAAAGCUUCCAAUCCACCCCUAGUAUCGGGGGAAUAUCUACUGCUGUCAAUAUAAAACUAUCAUGAUGAUGUCAUACAGUAUAUUAUUUGACAUGUUAUCAGCUAGCUAUGGAAAAACCACUCAACCUGUAAUGAAAAGGACCACUUUUCAUGAAAAUAUUAUUUUCUUAGGGGCAAUCAAGUGAUCACCUAUAGUGUAGCCAAAGGUUUUGAGACAAACAGUUUUAGCAAAUUUUUACAGUGGCAACUUGCGCUGAGCCUGUGUUGCUAUGAUGAGUGUUCAGAUGAAAUGCAUAUAUUGAAAAAUAAAUAAAAAUUCACUUCAUCGUGAAAAACUCAUAUGCACCGUGUUUAUCCCUGCAGCAAAAUGACCUGCUGGCUUCAUUUAAAUGAUCUCAGGAGAAACUGUUAACGAGGACAGGGCCGCCGAUAUCGAUGUCAUUUUGAUUGAAUCAGAGAAGCAGAAUGACUCCUUUAAAAAGCAGGGCGCAUUCUUCUUUUGUCAACCAUGGUUACCUCCAAAGAUACAUGUGCUGUCAUUACUGCUUUGCAUCAAAAUUGCUUCACAGGUAGAGCUAUUGUUGCUAUUAAUAUUGCACCCAAAUCCAAUAGUUAUUUAAUCAUCGAGAAUUUUAAGGAGAGAGUUUUAGUUGCUGGCAAGAAGGCUUCAGUUUGACCAGGAAGGCUCAGCGGGUGCCAGGACUGUGCCCUAAAGAGGAUUCAACUAAGGGAUCGGCUUGCCACCAAUACAGAGCUUGCUCAGAAAUGGCAGCAGACAGCUGGAGACGUUUGGACAACAGAACGGUUUCAAGAAGGGCAGCAAAUGAGAGACUAUCUCAAAGAAAAAAGACAAGACUGAUAUUCUGUACAAGCCAGGACUAAGUAUGGCUGUAAGGUCUGGACUCCAGAAGACUGAAAUAAGGUUAUUUUCUUUGAAGAGGCUUCUUUCAGACUGUCUGAGACAUAAAAAAAAUAAAUUAAUAAAUAAA
Molecule: long non-coding RNA, 2958 nt
Organism: Girardinichthys multiradiatus
Lineage: Eukaryota; Metazoa; Chordata; Actinopteri; Cyprinodontiformes; Goodeidae
Exons: 2
Source: RefSeq, a predicted model, not a curated record